AAGAAGGCACCUACCAAGACAUCAGAUACAAAACGAACACGGAGGGGUCGUGGAGCGAUGGAAGAUAUUAUGUUUAAGCUCUUUGAAAGGCAAACGAAUUGGACUUUAAGACAACUGAUUCAAGACACAGACCAACCAGAACAAUUUCUGAAAGAUAUACUUAAAGACCUCUGUAUAUACAACAACAAGGGAACUAAUCAAGGAUCAUAUGAACUGAAACCGGAGUACAAGAAAGUUACCGAUGGCACUAAUCCUUAAAAGGAGAAGGUUCAAGAAAUAACCAGAAGACCAUUUGAUUCUUAUUUUAGUAUACCGAUGAUUUCAACAGAGAAAGCUA
Long non-coding RNA from Hibiscus syriacus, 337 nucleotides. RefSeq lists it as uncharacterized. The transcript is spliced from 4 exons. Lineage: Eukaryota; Viridiplantae; Streptophyta; Magnoliopsida; Malvales; Malvaceae. The record is from RefSeq and is a predicted model, not a curated record.